AGAGGUGGCAAGCGUUGUUCGGAAUUACUGGGCGUAAAGGGCGCGUAGGCGGCCGCCUAAGUCAGACGUGAAAUCCCCAAGCUUAACUUGGGAACUGCGUCUGAUACUGGGUGGCUCGAGUUCGGGAGAGGAAUGUGGAAUUCCAGGUGUAGCGGUGAAAUGCGUAGAUAUCUGGAGGAACACCGGUGGCGAAGGCGGCAUUCUGGACCGAAACUGACGCUGAUGCGCGAAAGCCAGGGGAGCAAACGGGAUUAGAUACCCCGGUAGUCCUGGCCCUAAACGAUGAGUGCUUGGUGUGGUGGGUAUCGAUCCCUGCCGUGCCGAAGCUAACGCAUUAAGCACUCCGCCUGGGGAGUACGGUCGCAAGGCUGAA
This 373-nucleotide ribosomal RNA is filed under the name uncultured bacterium. RNAcentral's name for it is "bacterial SSU rRNA". It matches the Rfam family "Bacterial small subunit ribosomal RNA", at positions 527 to 898 of the family's 1533-position model. The record is from RNAcentral.